GCACCUCCAUCCACUCCAUCCUGAGGUGGUGACAGACCCUGUGCUGCUUGUGCACCUGCUCCUGAACUGCCCGCCAAGAUGUCCUGCCAGCAGAACCAGCAGCAGUGCCAGCCCCCUCCCAAGUGCACCCCCAAGUGCCCUCCCAAGUGCCCCACCCCAAAGUGCCCCCCAAAGUGUCCCCCCAAGUGCCCUCCAGUCUCUUCCUGCUGCAGUGUCAGCUCUGGGUGUGGGAGCUGCUGCAGCUCUGGAGGUGGUGGCUGCUGUGGCCACAGCUCUGGGGGUGGUGGCUGCUGCCUGAGCCACCACAAGCCCCACAGGUCCCAUCGCCUCAGACACAGGAGGUCUGACUGCUGCAGCCAGCCCUCUGGGGGCUCCAGCUGCUGUGGAGGUGGCUCUAGCUGCUGUGGAGGUGGCUCCAGCUGCUGUGGAGGAGACAGUGGUCAGUCCUCUGGAGGCUGCUGCUGCUGAAGUGGACCCUGAGCCAAGAAGAGCUGACUUGGAGACAGCAGAUUGCCACUCACUUUCUCCUCCUGGUCCUCCUGUUCCUCCUGCUGGGCCUGCCCUAUUGCUGAAGGUCUGGGUGAGGCCUGUGAACUCUGGUGCAGAAGGACCCCUGUGUCCUGGUGUCCAGGAGCCCAAACCACUCCCCCAAACCCACUUCCUGACCUUCUUCCCCAAAUGUCCAUUAGGUGUGGCUGCCCUGGGAACCCCAAAGCACAGACCUGUAUCCUCCAGAGCUCACCUGUGUGCGUGCGCACGCAGGCCUGAUGUGAAACAAUAAAAGAUUCUGCAUUUACUCUUGC
Molecule: long non-coding RNA, 803 nt
Organism: Phyllostomus discolor (pale spear-nosed bat)
Lineage: Eukaryota; Metazoa; Chordata; Mammalia; Chiroptera; Phyllostomidae
Exons: 2
Source: RefSeq, a predicted model, not a curated record